CCUACGGGAGGCUGCAGUAGGGAAUCUUCCACAAUGGGCGAAAGCCUGAUGGAGCAACGCCGCGGGGGUGAAGAAGGUCUUCGGAUCGUAAAACCCUGUUGUUAGAGAAGAAAGUGCGUGAGAGUAACUGUGCACGGGUCGACGGUAUCUAACCAGAAAGCCACGGCUAACUACGUGCCAGCAGCCGCGGUAAUACGUAGGUGGCAAGCGUUAUCCGGAGUUAUUGGGCGUAAAGGGAACGCAGGCGGUCUUUUAAGUCGGAGGUGAAAGCCUUCGGCUUAACCGGAGUAGUGCAUUGGAAACUGGGAGCCUUGCGUGCAGAAGAGGCGCGUGGAACUCCAUUUGUAGCGGU
RNAcentral lists this ribosomal RNA (352 nucleotides) under uncultured bacterium. Its description in RNAcentral is "partial 16S ribosomal RNA". It matches the Rfam family "Bacterial small subunit ribosomal RNA", at positions 338 to 682 of the family's 1533-position model. The record is from RNAcentral.